GCAAGUCGAACGAGAAAGGGAUUGCUUGCAAUCCUGAGUAGAGUGGCGCCCGGGUGAGUAACACGUAAAUAAUCUACCUUAGAGCCUGGGAUAACUAUUCGAAAGGAUAGCUAAUACGGGAAGAGGUAAUGCAUCGCAGGGUGCAUUAUGAAAGAUUGCCUCUUCUUGAAAGCAAUGUUUGGAGAUGAGUUUGCGGACCAUUAGUUUGUUGGUGGGGUAAAGGCUUACCAAGACUGCGAUGGUUAGCUGGUCUGAGAGGAUGAUC
This 265-nucleotide ribosomal RNA is filed under the name uncultured bacterium. RNAcentral's name for it is "partial 16S ribosomal RNA". It matches the Rfam family "Bacterial small subunit ribosomal RNA", at positions 57 to 305 of the family's 1533-position model. The record is from RNAcentral.